AUUGAACGCUGGCGGCAGGCCUAACACAUGCAAGUCGAACGAGUGGCGGACGGGUGAGUAAUGUCUGGGAAACUGCCUGAUGGAGGGGGAUAACUACUGGAAACCGUAGCUACUACCGCAUACCAUCAGAUGUGCCCAGAUGGGAUUAGCUAGUUGGUGGGGUAACGGGUCACAAAGGCGACGAUCCCUAGCUGGUCUGAGAGGCAGACCAGCCACACUGGAACGGAGACACGGUCCAGACUCCGACGGGAGGCAGCAGUGGGGAAUAUUGCACAAUGGGCGCAAGCCUGAUGCAGCCAUGCCGCGUGUAUGAAGAAGGCCUUCGGGUUGUAAAGUACUUUCAGCGGGGAGGCGUUACCCGCAGAAGAAGCACCGGCUAACUCCGUGCCAGCAGCCGCGGUAAUUC
This 406-nucleotide ribosomal RNA is filed under the name uncultured bacterium. RNAcentral's name for it is "partial 16S ribosomal RNA". It matches the Rfam family "Bacterial small subunit ribosomal RNA", at positions 30 to 526 of the family's 1533-position model. The record is from RNAcentral.